GUAUAGAACCUACCUUAUAUUGGGGGAUAGCCCAGAGAAAUUUGGAUUAAUACCCCAUAGUAUGCUGAAGUGGCAUCCUUUAGUAUUAAAGAUUUAUCGAUAUAAGAUGGCUAUGCGUUCUAUUAGCUAGUUGGUAUGGUAACGGCGUACCAAGGCUACGAUAGAUAGGGGUCCUGAGAGGGAGAUCCCCCACACUAGUACUGAGACACGGACCAGACUCCUACGGGAGGCAGCAGUGAGGAAUAUUGGACAAUGGAGGCAACUCUGAUCCAGCCAUGCCGCGUGCAGGAAGACUGCCCUAUGGGUUGUAAACUGCUUUUAUGGAGGAAGAAACCCCCCGACGAGUCGGGUCUGACGGUACUCUACGAAUAAGGAUCGGCUAACUCCGUGCCAGCAGCCGCGGUAAUACGGAGGAUCCAAGCGUUAUCCGGAAUCAUUGGGUUUAAAGGGUCCGUAGCGGAUUUGUAAGUCGGUGGUGAAAGUUUGCGGCUCAACCGUAAAAUUGCCAUUGAUACUGCAA
Molecule: ribosomal RNA, 520 nt
Filed under: uncultured bacterium
Lineage: Bacteria
Description: bacterial SSU rRNA
Rfam family: Bacterial small subunit ribosomal RNA
Source: RNAcentral